GACGAACGCUGGCGGCGUGCUUAACACAUGCAAGUCGAACGGAAAGGCCCCAGCUUGCUGGGGUACUCGAGUGGCAAACGGGUGAGUAACACGUGGGUGAUCUGCCCUGCACUCUGGGAUAAGCCUGGGAAACUGGGUCUAAUACCGGAUAGGACCGUGCUUUAGUGUGUGCGGUGGAAAGUUUUUCGGUGCAGGAUGAGCCCGCGGCCUAUCAGCUUGUUGGUGGGGUAAUGGCCUACCAAGGCGGCGACGGGUAGCCGGCCUGAGAGGGUGUACGGCCACAUUGGGACUGAGACACGGCCCAGACUCCUACGGGAGGCAGCAGUGGGGAAUAUUGCACAAUGGGCGCAAGCCUGAUGCAGCGACGCCGCGUGGGGGAUGACGGCCUUCGGGUUGUAAACCCCUUUCGGCAGGGACGAAGCUUUUGUGACGGUACCUGCAUAAGAAGCACCGGCUAACUACGUG
Molecule: ribosomal RNA, 465 nt
Filed under: uncultured bacterium
Lineage: Bacteria
Description: partial 16S ribosomal RNA
Rfam family: Bacterial small subunit ribosomal RNA
Source: RNAcentral